Molecule: transfer RNA, 104 nt
Filed under: Paraphaeosphaeria sporulosa
Lineage: Eukaryota; Fungi; Ascomycota; Dothideomycetes; Pleosporales; Didymosphaeriaceae
Rfam family: tRNA
About the family: Transfer RNA (tRNA) molecules are approximately 80 nucleotides in length. Their secondary structure includes four short double-helical elements and three loops (D, anti-codon, and T loops).
Source: Rfam by way of RNAcentral
GCCCGGCUAGCUCAAUCGGUAGAGCGUGAGACUCUUAAGUACACGAUCUAACAACUCGAUUACUCGGUAUCUCAAGGUUGUGGGUUCGACCCCCACGUCGGGCU